ACCCUCUCAGGGUCACACCUGGGGAGUUUCCAGUACUCUACCAGUCUUGACUAUGGGAGGGAUAGUCAAGCAGAGGCAUUCUAUUCCUAGCUUGGUCAGUGGCUAGCGAGUGGAAGGCAAUCUGCUAGACUU
Molecule: small nucleolar RNA, 132 nt
Organism: Ornithorhynchus anatinus (platypus)
Lineage: Eukaryota; Metazoa; Chordata; Mammalia; Monotremata; Ornithorhynchidae
Source: RefSeq, a predicted model, not a curated record